This 75-nucleotide transfer RNA is filed under the name Hadesarchaea archaeon. RNAcentral describes it as "tRNA-Pro". It matches the Rfam family "tRNA". From Rfam's summary of the family: Transfer RNA (tRNA) molecules are approximately 80 nucleotides in length. Their secondary structure includes four short double-helical elements and three loops (D, anti-codon, and T loops). Lineage: Archaea; Methanobacteriati; Hadarchaeota (SeqCode); Hadarchaeia (SeqCode). The record is from RNAcentral.
GGGGCCAUGGGGUAGCUUGGUCUAGCCUCCUAGCAUGGGGCGCUAGAGACCCGAGUUCAAAUCUCGGUGGCCCCA